GCAUUAGUAGCUCAGCCGCCCAGAGCGUCGGCCUUGUAAGCCGAAGCGCGGAGGUUCAAACCCUCCCUACUGCU
This 74-nucleotide transfer RNA is filed under the name Photopectoralis bindus (orangefin ponyfish). RNAcentral's name for it is "tRNA-Thr". It matches the Rfam family "tRNA". From Rfam's summary of the family: Transfer RNA (tRNA) molecules are approximately 80 nucleotides in length. Their secondary structure includes four short double-helical elements and three loops (D, anti-codon, and T loops). Further hydrogen bonds mediate the characteristic L-shaped molecular structure. tRNAs have two regions of fundamental functional importance: the anti-codon, which is responsible for specific mRNA codon recognition, and the 3' end, to which the tRNAs corresponding amino acid is attached (by aminoacyl-tRNA synthetases). tRNAs cope with the degeneracy of the genetic code in two manners: having more than one tRNA (with a specific anti-codon) for a particular amino acid; and 'wobble' base-pairing, i.e. permitting non-standard base-pairing at the 3rd anti-codon position. Lineage: Eukaryota; Metazoa; Chordata; Actinopteri; Chaetodontiformes; Leiognathidae. RNAcentral also lists the same sequence under 1 other name. The record is from RNAcentral.